CUGCGACCAGGCUGCGGCGUCGCAGAAUGGAGUAGCCAUGGAGUGAAGAGUGCCAACACUAGUCUCCCAAGUUUUUGAGGUGAAAAAAAUACGUUUUGCCCAAGUUUGACGUGACUGUAAACGCACUGCAGACCUACAGCGUGGCAGUUAUGGGACUGAAAGUUGAGUCUUGUGCCAAAUGAAUGCCACGGGCUGUGCCUCUCUUACUGUUGAUGCGUCAGUGUUUUUCAACACCAAAUUUGAA
Pimephales promelas (fathead minnow) is the source of this 244-nucleotide non-coding RNA. The record is from RefSeq and is a predicted model, not a curated record. Lineage: Eukaryota; Metazoa; Chordata; Actinopteri; Cypriniformes; Leuciscidae.